Molecule: long non-coding RNA, 530 nt
Organism: Passer montanus (Eurasian tree sparrow)
Lineage: Eukaryota; Metazoa; Chordata; Aves; Passeriformes; Passeridae
Exons: 3
Source: RefSeq, a predicted model, not a curated record
CCCCCUCCGCCCGGCGGCGCGGUCGCGCGCCCCCUCAGGGGCGGCUGAGGGGGAGCGGCGGGAGCGGGCCGGGGUUUCUGCAGCGCUCCUCGGCUCUGGGGUUCGCUCCGCGGCCGCAGAGGAAGGAGCCGUGGCCAGGAACGACGCGGCUCUGCCGCGGUGCUGGCGCUUCGGAAGGUGUCGCUUGCGAAAGCUGUCAGCGCUUCCCGUAGCGUGCGCCGGAGAGAGGAGGAAGGCUGCGGUGCGAUGGGGCCCUCCCGGAGGAACAGCCCCAGGCUCGCUGCUGUGGGAGGAACGAUCUUGCCACAUCGGAGCUGCAGAAAGGUCAAGCUGGAGUUGCCUUCUCGCUGAUGCGGCAAGUUGAAGUGUGGAGGAAGCUGAUAAUGCUUUUUCAGUUCCUGAGGACUUCAAGCAGCUAUGAAAGUUAUAGGACAUCAGCAGACACCAACAAUCAGCUCACAAACAGCUGCUGAGAAGUUGAAGACAAACAUCUACAGAACCAUUGAAGCAUAAAUAGUGCAGGAGCACCU